This 497-nucleotide ribosomal RNA is filed under the name uncultured bacterium. RNAcentral's name for it is "partial 16S ribosomal RNA". It matches the Rfam family "Bacterial small subunit ribosomal RNA", at positions 28 to 507 of the family's 1533-position model. The record is from RNAcentral.
GAUGAACGCUGGCGGCGUGCCUAAUACAUGCAAGUCGAGCGAACGGACGAGAAGCUUGCUUCUCUGAUGUUAGCGGCGGACGGGUGAGUAACACGUGGAUAACCUACCUAUAAGACUGGGAUAACUUCGGGAAACCGUAGCUAAUACCGGAUAAUAUUUUGAACCGCAUGGUUCAAAAGUGAAAGACGGUCCUGCUGUCACUUAUAGAUGGAUCCGCGCUGCAUUAGCUAGUUGGUAAGGUAACGGCUUACCAAGGCAACGAUGCAUAGCCGACCUGAGAGGGUGAUCGGCCACACUGGAACUGAGACACGGUCCAGACUCCUACGGGAGGCAGCAGUAGGGAAUCUUCCGCAAUGGGCGAAAGCCUGACGGAGCAACGCCGCGUGAGUGAUGAAGGUCUUCGGAUCGUAAAACUCUGUUAUUAGGGAAGAACAUAUGUGUAAGUAACUAUGCACAUCUUGACGGUACCUAAUCAGAAAGCCACGGCUAACUACGUG